RNAcentral lists this ribosomal RNA (520 nucleotides) under uncultured Glomus. RNAcentral describes it as "SSU rRNA". It matches the Rfam family "Eukaryotic small subunit ribosomal RNA", at positions 569 to 1092 of the family's 1831-position model. Lineage: Eukaryota; Fungi; Glomeromycota; Glomeromycetes; Glomerales; Glomeraceae. The record is from RNAcentral.
AGCAGCCGCGGUAAUUCCAGCUCCAAUAGCGUAUAUUAAAGUUGUUGCAGUUAAAAAGCUCGUAGUUGAAUUUCGAGACCGGUUUACUGGUCGUGCUUUUGUACGUACUGGUAUAAUCGGUUUCUCUCUUCUGACGAACUAUAAUGCCAUUAAUUUGGUGUUAUGGGAAAUCAGGACUGUUACUUUGAAAAAAUUAGAGUGUUUAAAGCAGGCUCACGCUUGAAUACAUUAGCAUGGAAUAACGGAAUAGGACGUUUGAUUCUAUUUUGUUGGUUUCUAGGAUCGACGUAAUGAUUAAUAGGGAUAGUUGGGGGCAUUAGUAUUCAAUUGUCAGAGGUGAAAUUCUUGGAUUUAUUGAAGACUAACUACUGCGAAAGCAUUUGCCAAGGAUGUUUUCAUUAAUCAAGAACGAAAGUUAGGGGAUCGAAGACGAUCAGAUACCGUCGUAGUCUUAACCAUAAACUAUGCCGACUAGGGAUCGGAUGAUGUUAAUUUUUAAUGACUCAUUCGGCACCUUACG